Non-coding RNA from Camellia sinensis, 349 nucleotides. The record is from RefSeq and is a predicted model, not a curated record. NCBI's taxonomy places the organism in Eukaryota, Viridiplantae, Streptophyta, Magnoliopsida, Ericales, Theaceae.
CAUUUUCAGAUUUGUCCACAAAGCUGAGCUUCCAGCUCCACUUUCUAGUUUCUUAUACAUUGGAAAUGUUAUAAAUGUUAAAAAAGGAAAGAAGCAUUGGAAAAUACACAUAUAGCUUUCCAGGCUAUUCUUCAUAUCUUCCACCUCCAUUUUCUCACAGAUACAAAUGUGAUUUGAUAAAAAGGUUACUGAUAUUCGAUCAACGUAAUUUUUCACAGAUGUAACCGAAGACGAAGAACUUAAAGACUGAGAAACAAAUGUUCCUCCAGGAUACAACAGACCUGACACGUUGCUGUAAUUCACAUCAUUACUCUCUUUACCAAGAAGUUGUGCAUAGUGAAAAACAUUA